RNAcentral lists this non-coding RNA (21 nucleotides) under Caenorhabditis elegans. The record is from RNAcentral. Lineage: Eukaryota; Metazoa; Nematoda; Chromadorea; Rhabditida; Rhabditidae.
GUUACUGAGUGUUCAGUUGAA